RNAcentral lists this transfer RNA (67 nucleotides) under Lebbeus groenlandicus. RNAcentral describes it as "tRNA-His". Lineage: Eukaryota; Metazoa; Arthropoda; Malacostraca; Decapoda; Hippolytidae. The record is from RNAcentral.
GUUUAAAUAGUUUAAUAAAAAUGUUGGUUUGUGGGGCCAAAGAUAUAUGGAUAAAGUAUUUUGAACA